RNAcentral lists this ribosomal RNA (469 nucleotides) under uncultured bacterium. Its description in RNAcentral is "bacterial SSU rRNA". It matches the Rfam family "Bacterial small subunit ribosomal RNA", at positions 959 to 1448 of the family's 1533-position model. The record is from RNAcentral.
ACGCGCAGAACCUUACCAACCCUUGACAUACUCGUCGUCGCUCCAGAGAUGGAGCUUUCAGCUAGGCUGGACGAGAUACAGGUGCUGCAUGGCUGUCGUCAGCUCGUGUCGUGAGAUGUUCGGUUAAGUCCGGCAACGAGCGCAACCCACAUCCUUAGUUGCCAGCAGUUCGGCUGGGCACUCUAGGGAAACUGCCCGUGAUAAGCGGGAGGAAGGUGUGGAUGACGUCAAGUCCUCAUGGCCCUUACGGGUUGGGCUACACACGUGCUACAAUGGCAGUGACAAUGGGUUAAUCCCAAAAAACUGUCUCAGUUCGGAUUGGGGUCUGCAACUCGACCCCAUGAAGUCGGAAUCGCUAGUAAUCGCGUAACAGCAUGACGCGGUGAAUACGUUCCCGGGCCUUGUACACACCGCCCGUCACACCAUGGGAGUUGGUUCUACCCGACGACGCUGCGCUAACCUUCGGGGG